This 298-nucleotide ribosomal RNA is filed under the name uncultured bacterium. RNAcentral's name for it is "partial 16S ribosomal RNA". It matches the Rfam family "Bacterial small subunit ribosomal RNA", at positions 28 to 329 of the family's 1533-position model. The record is from RNAcentral.
GACGAACGCUGGCGGCGUGCUUAACACAUGCAAGUCGAGCGGUAAGGCCCUUCGGGUACGACGAGCGGCGAACGGGUGAGUAACACGUGGGUGACCUGCCUCUAGCUCUGGGAUAAGCCUGGGAAACUGGGUCUAAUACCGGAUAUGACUCCACGGCGCAUGUUGUGGGGUGGAAAGCCUUGAGUGGCUAGAGAUGGGCCCGCGGCCUAUCAGCUUGUUGGUGGGGUGAUGGCCUACCAAGGCGACGACGGGUAGCCGGCCUGAGAGGGCGACCGGCCACACUGGGACUGAGACACGG